RNAcentral lists this ribosomal RNA (502 nucleotides) under uncultured bacterium. RNAcentral describes it as "partial 16S ribosomal RNA". It matches the Rfam family "Bacterial small subunit ribosomal RNA", at positions 30 to 523 of the family's 1533-position model. The record is from RNAcentral.
AUUGAACGCUGGCGGCAUGCCUUACACAUGCAAGUCGAACGGCAGCAUAGGAGCUUGCUCCUGAUGGCGAGUGGCGAACGGGUGAGUAAUAUAUCGGAACGUGCCCUAGAGUGGGGGAUAACUAGUCGAAAGACUAGCUAAUACCGCAUACGAUCUACGGAUGAAAGUGGGGGCUCGCAAGACCUCAUGCUCCUGGAGCGGCCCAUAUCUGAUUAGCUAGUUGGUGGGGUAAAAGCCUACCAAGGCGACGAUCAGUAGCUGGUCUGAGAGGACGACCAGGCACACUGGGACUGAGACACGGCCCAGACUCCUACGGGGGGCAGCAGUGGGGAAUUUUGGACAAUGGGGGCAACCCUGAUCCAGCAAUGCCGCGUGAGUGAAGAAGGCCUUCGGGCUGUAAAGCUCUUUUGUCAGGGAAGAAACGGUAGUAGCUAAUAUCUAUUACUAAUGACGGGACCUGAAGAAUAAGCACCGGCUAACUACGUGCCAGCAGCCGCAGUAA